AGUAGUCAGUAGUCUGGUAUGAUGAGGUCCAUUUAGAAGGAGACAGUGAUGUGAGUAGUCAGUAGUCUGGUAUGAUGAGGUCCAUUUAGAAGGAGACACAGUGAUGUGAGUAGUCAGUAGUCUGGUAUGAUGAGGUCCAUUUAGAAGGAGACAGUGAUGUCAGUAGUCAGUAGUCUGGUAUGAUGAGGUCCAUUUAGAAGGAGACACAGUGAUGUGAGUAGUCAGUAGUCUGGUAUGAUGAGGUCCAUUUAGAAGGAGACAGUGAUGUGAGUAGUCAGUAGUCUGGUAUGAUGAGGUCCAUUUAGAA
This is a long non-coding RNA of Oncorhynchus keta (chum salmon), 307 nucleotides long. RefSeq lists it as uncharacterized. Lineage: Eukaryota; Metazoa; Chordata; Actinopteri; Salmoniformes; Salmonidae. The transcript has 4 exons. The record is from RefSeq and is a predicted model, not a curated record.